RNAcentral lists this small nuclear RNA (135 nucleotides) under Rhodnius prolixus. Its description in RNAcentral is "U4 spliceosomal RNA". It matches the Rfam family "U4 spliceosomal RNA". Rfam says of the family: U4 small nuclear RNA (U4 snRNA) is a component of the major U2-dependent spliceosome. The record is from Rfam by way of RNAcentral. Lineage: Eukaryota; Metazoa; Arthropoda; Insecta; Hemiptera; Reduviidae.
ACCGUGGCGCAGUGGCAAUAUCGUAACCAAUGAAGGUCACCUGAGGUGCGAUUAUUGCUAGUUGAAAACUUCGAAUUCUGUAUGUCCUGCCCUAUUAGUGUAAUCGCUGCAAGAAUUUGGACGAUUAUAGUUACU